GUUAGUGACUUUUUUAUGUUUUUGUCCGACAGUCCGAAAAGACUUAACACUGCGACUGCAGUUCAGGUUCUUUAACCACAGGAAAACGCCCCUAAUCAAGUGAAGAACGACGGCUGUCUCGGUUGGGUGCGACCAGCUCAUAAAAUCUGUAGUCGUGAUUACCCCGCAGGCGUCGGUUGGGAAAGCUUCCCAAAAAUUACCUGGUGGGAUAUCUUUAAGCAACAACCUUUGUUUCGUCACUUACCUGGAGCCGCCUUUGGUGUUUUCAGCUCUGACCGGGCCAGCUAUGCGUGUCUUCACAUUAAAAUGCUAAGUUUAUUAAGUUAUAUCAGACUUUAAUAAUUAGGUUCUUUAUGUGUCGUUAUUUUAUAGUAUUUAAAAGUUAUUUAUCAGGUUUACCUCUUCAAAGUGUUUGUUUAAACAUACGUAGUGCAAUAGACGUAUAUUAAUAUACAUUUUUAAUUAACAAUUCAGUUUAGGCUAGGGAAGAAUUUUAUUAUAUAAAAAAUGGUAAUUUUUCCGGGUACGUAGUUUAUCACUGCCAAAAAUGCUCGUCAAUAUUAUUUUUUGAUAAAAAAAACUAACGACACGACUAUUAUAAAUUAGUGUAAAAUUGUGAUAAACUUAAGAAUCAGAGUUUUUAUUUAGAGGUGAACUGCAAAUGUUGCAUAUAUGUAUAAUUUAAUAUUAAUAUAUAACCUAUUUUAUUAAUAUUUUAGUGAUUAUGAUUGAUGAUUUGUCUGUAAAUAUUGUUUGCAUUGUAUUGUAGUUAUUACAUGUCAGCUUCGUGCUAGGUUUAAGUCGAUGAAGCCUAUUGCAAUGCUUGACGGGAUAUAUGAAUUAAAAAAAAUAAUUAAUCGCAUUAAAUUUACAAUUUUAAUAGUAAUAAUAAAAGCCCGUAUUUUUCCAAUUUUUAUUAAUUUUAUUUUGUAAAUAAAGACAAAUUUAUGAGCGCAGGUUGCUCUCUUGGAUAAUAUUUUAACAUGUUGGUGAUGUCGGAUACCUAAAUAUGUGUUUUAUUAUUAUUUAUUCGCUAUUAAAAUGGAAACAUUUCAUAUGUCAUUCGAAUCACUUAAUCUUCUCACACGUAUUGAUUGUAAUAGAUAUUCUUAUUGUAAUUUACAUGAAAUACAAUAAAAAUAAAAUGUGA
Long non-coding RNA from Anoplophora glabripennis (Asian longhorned beetle), 1150 nucleotides. RefSeq lists it as uncharacterized. Lineage: Eukaryota; Metazoa; Arthropoda; Insecta; Coleoptera; Cerambycidae. The transcript has 3 exons. The record is from RefSeq and is a predicted model, not a curated record.